Molecule: long non-coding RNA, 742 nt
Organism: Dromaius novaehollandiae (emu)
Lineage: Eukaryota; Metazoa; Chordata; Aves; Casuariiformes; Dromaiidae
Exons: 3
Source: RefSeq, a predicted model, not a curated record
ACCUGGGCGGGCCGCCCGCCCCGGCCCACGGCCGCCGCGGCAGCCCGGUGUGGGCCACCUUCGCAAGCGCUUGUUUGAAAGCUCCUCCUCAGGAAGCGCUUUAAUACAGAAAACUUUCGCUCGAGACCAAAACGCCUUCAGGUCGAUGCAAAGGUGACACCUGAUAAUAACUCUGCAUGCCUUCAUCAGCUGCUGUCAGGCUACACCCAGACAAACCAUCUGCCACCCAGGAAACUACAUACUUGCAGAUUCUGCGGAACCGAAGGAGAUGCCCCCGGCAGACCCCCUGCGUCAGGGUCCGCUUCCCAGCUACAGAUGCUCGAGCGUACGGAGAAGCCGACCGGAGCGUGCGGGAUGUUUCACUCUCAGCGUGCUCCAAGCGAAGUAUUUCAGGAAUCAGGUGAAUAUGUACUUGUGACUUUGCCUUUCUAGAUAACCGCGUACGUGCUACACCCUGGAGAGGUAUGUGCAGGCGGGUGAUGGAAACUUUCCUAUGGUGGCUGACUCGGUCUGAGGUGCUCCCUCCGCUGCCAGCAGCCUGCAGGAGCCCUUCUGUCUCCGGCAGCUACCUGCGCUCGGGAGCCCGUGCCCUUCCCCGCUGCUGCCCCCAGUCACUCGCACGCUCUCUGCCUCGUCAGCCGCGGAGCGGGAGCCUGCCGAGGGGGUCAGCACUCACUUUGGACGCUCGCGUCCGCACCCCCAGCCGGCCAGCCCGAGCCCCGGCGUGGCUCUCCGGGGCGAG